ACUUUUUUAGUAUAUAAGUAUAUCUGACUUCCAAUCAGAAGGACUAAACAUUUAGAAAAAGUA
RNAcentral lists this transfer RNA (63 nucleotides) under Austruca lactea. RNAcentral describes it as "tRNA-Gly". Lineage: Eukaryota; Metazoa; Arthropoda; Malacostraca; Decapoda; Ocypodidae. The record is from RNAcentral.